Long non-coding RNA from Pan troglodytes (chimpanzee), 1494 nucleotides. RefSeq lists it as uncharacterized. NCBI's taxonomy places the organism in Eukaryota, Metazoa, Chordata, Mammalia, Primates, Hominidae. The record is from RefSeq and is a predicted model, not a curated record. The transcript has 2 exons.
UGACCUGCCACAGGCCACAGUAGGGAUUCAAACCUGGUCCACCCAACUGCAGAUCUCAGCUCUGGACCCCAGGUGCCUGGCUGCCCUCAGCCCACCUAGCCACGCCCACCCACUUCAUCCAGCUUCCUCCCUGGAGAGCUCAGAGCCCACUGGACCCAGGCCCCCAUCCCGGGACCCGGGAUUCAAGUGACAGAAUUAUUGGACCAACAAGGGAUGGAAGGGGACAAGGGCCUCAGAACCCCAGAUUCAGGUUCGUGUACCUGAUAUGCAGCGGAGGUCAAAAACUGACACAAGUGCUUGGAGAUAGAAAAAGAUUUACUUCAUUUGGCUAAAGUAAGAAGACAAGAAAGCAAAUUCCUCCACUCCAUGUUAACAAAAGGAUGAAGCAGGGAGUUUUUAUGUGGCUAAGGAGUGAGGGAGGUGGCAUUUCAGGGGAAAAGUCUGUGUUUAUUCCGUCUCAGGUAACAUCUUAAGCAACUAGACUUGCGGGCGACAGCGGCUGGUCUCUACGUCCCUAAAGGCAUUCACUCCUGCAAAAUACUUUUGUGACUCUGAAGUUAUCUCCUCCUCCUUCUUGACAAAGAAACAGGACAUCUGCAGCUUAUGAUCACAUUGUGUGAACAAGGGAUGCUGGGCAAAAAGCAAGCAGUUAACUUGUACAAGCAGGCAAGGGCCAAAUCAGAAUUUUCUUUACUUCAGUCACAAAAAUGCUGGGUACUGAAAUCUCAACUCACCUGGUGUCACUCCCAGGGCACAGGCUAGGACAACACACACCCGUCCCUGGAGAACUCUGGGCUGGUUCCCCCUUCUCCCCCUGCUGACCCCCUCUUAGUCUACCUCCGCUCCUCCCUUCCCCCACCAGAGAACCUCCCAGGGUUUCCAUUUCCUCCCGGAUAACACGUGCUGCCCUGUGAGGAGUUGCUAAAGUCAAGAGCAAGGUGGCAGAGGGCUUUCGAGCAAGAGGCGACCUGACUUCAGAGACCCUCAGUCCCCAAGACAGACGCAUGCCCUUCGAGAGAGCGGCCGCCCCAGGCACAGGCAGGCUCCGGGCUGUCAGGAUGGGAGCACGUGGUCCUCUUCCACCCACCACCCGAACCUCCCCUGCUCCCCGCACCCAUUUCCCUGUGGUCACUGUAAUCGGACCCCAGUCCAGUCCCCUUCCCCACUGACUCUGGGAGCUGGGGUUGAUGCUGGGGCUGGAGCAGUGACCAGCCCAUGGUGACCCCGGCCCCAUCCAGGUACUAGGCCACUGGCCACCAAUCAACUAUGGUUUCCCAAGCACCCAUAUGUGCCCAGCCUGGGCUUGGGACCCAGGCCUAGUCCUGCCCGGCCCACUGCAGCAGUAAUAGUGGGCUCUUCCUGGAGAGAACCUGGACCACAGUCUCUCUGCCUCAACAUCUCAGUAUGAAGGGCCAGAGACCCUCCUGAUGGUCACCUUAGGAGCACAAAUGUGAUCCUGCCAGGAAGAAGUAAUAAAAUGUGGAUGUUGCCUUC